Molecule: ribosomal RNA, 1044 nt
Filed under: Staphylococcus sp.
Lineage: Bacteria; Bacillati; Bacillota; Bacilli; Caryophanales; Staphylococcaceae
Description: bacterial SSU rRNA
Rfam family: Bacterial small subunit ribosomal RNA
Source: RNAcentral
CAACUGCAGUCGAGCGAACAGAUAAGGAGCUUGCUCCUUUGACGUUAGCGGCGGACGGGUGAGUAACACGUGGGUAACCUACCUAUAAGACUGGGAUAACUUCGGGAAACCGGAGCUAAUACCGGAUAACAUUUGGAACCGCAUGGUUCUAAAGUGAAAGAUGGUUUUGCUAUCACUUAUAGAUGGACCCGCGCCGUAUUAGCUAGUUGGUAAGGUAAUGGCUUACCAAGGCGACGAUACGUAGCCGACCUGAGAGGGUGAUCGGCCACACUGGAACUGAGACACGGUCCAGACUCCUACGGGAGGCAGCAGUAGGGAAUCUUCCGCAAUGGGCGAAAGCCUGACGGAGCAACGCCGCGUGAGUGAUGAAGGGUUUCGGCUCGUAAAACUCUGUUAUUAGGGAAGAACAAACGUGUAAGUAACUGUGCACGUCUUGACGGUACCUAAUCAGAAAGCCACGGCUAACUACGUGCCAGCAGCCGCGGUAAUACGUAGGUGGCAAGCGUUAUCCGGAAUUAUUGGGCGUAAAGCGCGCGUAGGCGGUUUCUUAAGUCUGAUGUGAAAGCCCACGGCUCAACCGUGGAGGGUCAUUGGAAACUGGGAAACUUGAGUGCAGAAGAGGAAAGUGGAAUUCCAUGUGUAGCGGUGAAAUGCGCAGAGAUAUGGAGGAACACCAGUGGCGAAGGCGACUUUCUGGUCUGUAACUGACGCUGAUGUGCGAAAGCGUGGGGAUCAAACAGGAUUAGAUACCCUGGUAGUCCACGCCGUAAACGAUGAGUGCUAAGUGUUAGGGGUUUCCGCCCCUUAUGCUGCAGCUAACGCAUUAAGCACUCCGCCUGGGGAGUACGACCGCAAGGUUGAACUCAAAGGAAUUGAGGGACCGCACAAGCGGUGGAGCAUGGGUUUAAUUCGAAGCAACCGAAAACCCUUACCAAAUUACUCCUUGAAAACUAGAGAUAGAGCCUUCCCCUCGGGGAAAGUGAGGGCAUGGCGUCAGCUCCGAUUGUCCCCAAGCAGCUUGCCAAUUAAGUGGGCGUUGACGCG